GACGAACGCUGGCGGCGUGCUUAACACAUGCAAGUCGAACGGAAAGGCCCUGCUUUUGUGGGGUGCUCGAGUGGCGAACGGGUGAGUAACACGUGAGUAACCUGCCCUUGACUUUGGGAUAACUUCAGGAAACUGGGGCUAAUACCGGAUAGGAGCUCCUGCUGCAUGGUGGGGGUUGGAAAGUUUCGGCGGUUGGGGAUGGACUCGCGGCUUAUUAGCUUGUUGAUGGGGUAGUGGCUUACCAAGGCUUUGACGGGUAGCCGGCCUGAGAGGGUGACCGGCCACAUUGGGACUGAGAUACGGCCCAGACUCCUACGGGAGGCAGCAGUGGGGAAUAUUGCACAAUGGGCGGAAGCCUGAUGCAGCAACGCCGCGUGCGGGAUGACGGCCUUCGGGUUGUAAACCGCUUUCGCCUGUGACGAAGCGUGAGUGACGGUAAUGGGUAAAGAAGCACCGGCUAACUACGUG
This 468-nucleotide ribosomal RNA is filed under the name uncultured bacterium. RNAcentral's name for it is "partial 16S ribosomal RNA". It matches the Rfam family "Bacterial small subunit ribosomal RNA", at positions 28 to 507 of the family's 1533-position model. The record is from RNAcentral.